CCUACGGGCGGCAGCAGUGGGGAAUAUUGCACAAUGGGGGAAACCCUGAUGCAGCGACGCCGCGUGAAGGAAGAAGUAUUUCGGUAUGUAAACUUCUAUCAGCAGGGAAGAAAGUGACGGUACCUGACUAAGAAGCCCCGGCUAACUACGUGCCAGCAGCCGCGGUAAUACGUAGGGGGCAAGCGUUAUCCGGAUUUACUGGGUGUAAAGGGAGCGUAGGCGGCGAUGAAAGGCAGAAGUGAAAGCCCGGGGCUCAACCCCGGAACUGCUCUGGAAACUGUGCGGCUAGAGUACUGGAGGGGCAGGCGGAAUUCCUAGUGUAGCGGUGAAAUGCGUAGAUAUUAGGAGGAACACCAGUGGCGAAGGCGGCCUGCUGGACAGUAACUGACGUUGAGGCUCGAAAGCGUGGGGAGCAAACAGGAUUAGAUACCCUGGUAGUC
RNAcentral lists this ribosomal RNA (440 nucleotides) under uncultured bacterium. RNAcentral's name for it is "partial 16S ribosomal RNA". It matches the Rfam family "Bacterial small subunit ribosomal RNA", at positions 338 to 795 of the family's 1533-position model. The record is from RNAcentral.